Molecule: long non-coding RNA, 316 nt
Filed under: Ananas comosus (pineapple)
Lineage: Eukaryota; Viridiplantae; Streptophyta; Magnoliopsida; Poales; Bromeliaceae
Description: long non-coding RNA (ACOM_LNC006358)
Source: RNAcentral
CGGCUGCAGGGCCCCUCCUUCCUCCUCCGUCUCCGGCGACCGCUCCUUCUUGAUCGGCCGCACCUCCACCACCUCCACCUCCACCUCGUCGUCGUCGUCGUCGUCGUCGCGCUUCCGCUUAUGUUGCGGAGGAGGAGGAGGAGGAGGGGGGAGGGGGAGGGGGAGGGAGGGGGCGGAGGAGGUGCCGAUCUCGUUGGGGAAGUUGAGGAUGGCCUUGCAGCCGCGCAUCUUGAAGGCGGCGCGGUCGUAGGCGCGGGCGGCCUCGACGGCGGUGUCGAAGGUGCCCAGCCAAACCCUAGACCCGCGCCGGUUCGGG